RNAcentral lists this ribosomal RNA (497 nucleotides) under uncultured bacterium. RNAcentral describes it as "partial 16S ribosomal RNA". It matches the Rfam family "Bacterial small subunit ribosomal RNA", at positions 28 to 507 of the family's 1533-position model. The record is from RNAcentral.
GAUGAACGCUGGCGGCGUGCCUAAUACAUGCAAGUCGAGCGAACAGACGAGGAGCUUGCGCCUCUGACGUUAGCGGCGGACGGGUGAGUAACACGUGGAUAACCUACCUAUAAGACUGGGAUAACUUCGGGAAACCGGAGCUAAUACCGGAUAAUAUAUUGAACCGCAGGGUUCAAUAGUGAAAGACGGUUUUGCUGUCACUUAUAGAUGGAUCCGCGCCGCAUUAGCUAGUUGGUAAGGUAACGGCUUACCAAGGCGACGAUGCGUAGCCGAGCUGAGAGGGUGAUCGGCCACACUGGAACUGAGACACGGUCCAGACUCCUACGGGAGGCAGCAGUAGGGAAUCUUCCGCAAUGGGCGAAAGCCUGACGGAGCAACGCCGCGUGAGUGAUGAAGGUCUUCGGAUCGUAAAACUCUGUUAUUAGGGAAGAACAAAUGUGUAAGUAACUAUGCACGUCUUGACGGUACCUAAUCAGAAAGCCACGGCUAACUACGUG